Triticum aestivum (bread wheat) is the source of this 4182-nucleotide long non-coding RNA. RefSeq lists it as uncharacterized. The transcript has 12 exons. NCBI's taxonomy places the organism in Eukaryota, Viridiplantae, Streptophyta, Magnoliopsida, Poales, Poaceae. The record is from RefSeq and is a predicted model, not a curated record.
CCCACACACGCACUGCAGAAAAAAAACCAGCCCUCAGGAAACAUCGCUCAUCUCGAUCUCCCGUCGAAAAGAAAAACGCAGGGACGAGGCACUCCUGUCCCCUAGCCCCUCGCAUGCUAGGGUUCCUCACGCCGCCGUCGACGCCGCCGCCGCAUGGGUGUUCGUCGACUGGCCCUGCCUCCGGCCGCCGCCACCGCAGCCGCCCACCUUCAUCCUCUCCCCAACCCCGUCGGCCUCCAAUCCACCCCACUCCUCCGCGGGUGCCACCAAACCAUCGCCGCCCUCUCCCCGCACCCGUACCCAAGGAAUCAGCCGGCGGCCAGAUCCGCCCCUCCACUCACCCAACUCUCCCUCCGCCGCCGCGGACCUAGCAGGGAAGACGCGGACGAGAUCCCAAGUCGCUGCUCCUCCUCUCCCGGGAUGCAGCCGCCGCCGCCGAACCAGGGAGACGCCGGCGACCAUCGCCGCCGUCGUGGAUCACCAUGACGCCGCCGCCUGCACCGCCACCGCCGCGGUGUCGCGGCUGGCAUUGGCGAAUCCAUUCCCAGCGGCGGCGGCUUCCGGCGAGGAGGCGAGCGAGCUCGGGGAGCUACGGCAGGGGCUUGUCGCCGGUGAGGCGAGGCCAAGGCGGCGGCGCGCGGGCGCGAGGAGGCGGGGUCGAGGAGGCGCAGGAGGACGCCGGCCGGUGGGGCUCCGGCGGGGGCUUGGUGAGGGCGGCGGCGGCCGGCGUGCUCGCUUGGGAGGAUGGAGGCUGCCUCACCGGGGCUCGGGCACGGCAGCACGGCGUCGGGCCGUUGCCGAUGGCGCUGGGGCCGGGGCGGUGGUUUGACGGGCGACGAGGAGGAGGUGCUGUCCUGGAGCCAGCGACGGCGGCUGCAGCUUGACAAUGCCGGCGUCAACAACUUGCUUCAGGGGCUUCAGGCCGUGAACGGCGUUGUGCUUGCGCGCGAGACCCGUGUCUGAUUUGGAAAGAAUCAAUCCGGUGAAGAAGAAGGCCAAUGCAAUUGCUCUCUAGCUAGGCACUGGAGUAUCUGCACCCCCAAUGGAAUACUACGAAUUGCUGCUGGUACUGAACAUUGACAGGCAAGCAACAACAAACAGACUUUGCUGUUUUCAGUCUACUCAGAUAUUUGUUGGGCAUCACCGAGGAACGCCAGCAAAGGCGUGAAGAAAUACUCACAAUCAGUGUGACAUGUCGUGUGAGAUGAAGGUGGCAAACCAUCCAAACUUUAAGCCAAGCAUGUGGUGGAUCCGCCAUGGAUGAUGGAUGGACCGAGCUCCUGGUGUAAUUAAGCAUAUGGCUUUUGUGAUGUGUUAUGUAGAUAAUUACGUCGCGGAUCACCGGGACAUGACUAUCGCAGAUCACCAGGACACCGCCGGCGGCGGCGCCUCGGAUACCGGCGACCGGCGGUGAUCUGAGACCAACGAGUCAGCACCACAUCCCUGGUACUUCCCUUCCCCAUCCGCCAACCCUCUACCCUCCCCCUCUACAAAGGCCCGUGCGGCCCUGUCCGUCCGACCUCGACGGACACGACCAAGGAUGGAUGUGCAUCCCGACGCCUCUCUUCUCCAUUGAUCCCCCAUCUCCUCAAGGUGAAUCUUCUCCACAGGGAGGAUCUGACGACGCCGAACGCAGCCAUGGAGCACCAGGAGCACGCGGAGACGAUGUGGGAGUGGGCGGUCUCCGAGGUUAGCUACUUCGCUUUUCUUUUUGAUGGUCCGAGGUUGCUAUUACGGGAUUACCUGAUGUUGCUUCAUGUCUGUUAUAUCUUUCAAUAUUUACAGAAACUUCCAAAACUAACACCAGUUAUUGGUGGUUUACACCGAUAGUUUCCAGACCUUUAUCGCAAGAUGGACGAACUUGGCAUCUCAGCCAGUACUCUACCUCAUCAACAGUUUGAUGUCCCUUUGAAUGAAGUUAGGCCAGCAUCAGAAGGUCCUAGCCUUUUUGAGGAGAUGAAGGUGAAGAAUAUUAAGCCGGAUAACCUCACAUGUUGCCUUCUAAUGACCAGCCAUGCGGCAUUGAACAAGAUAGAUGUUGUUGGAGAAGUUUCAGAAGAAAUGCAAGAGAAGGAUGUAGUUCUAGGGUGGUCUGCAUAUAGCAUGGUUUCUAUCUACCUGAGUGCUGGUUUGGUUUUAAAAAACAGUCCGCUCCGAAGAAACUCGAGGGCCUUGCUUUUAGAAGGUAACAUAAAUAUCUAUAUUGAUCGUUCAUGGUCCUGGGGCUGUUUGUUACCAUGUAAUAUAACAUAGUACUAUGCACAACGACGCGUCAUCACUAAGCUCAACAUCUAAAUAACUUGAAAUGUUGGCUCAGAGUUCUUUUACAACAUAAAAAUGAUUUUAUUUCUCCCGAUGCAUUGUUAUUUAGGCUUCAUUAUUCUGCAAUUUCUGUCAAAGUACUAAACAUGAAAUAUAUAAUUUGGUAAUGAACCGCAAAAUAUAUAUAUGUCCCCUGUUUUGUUAUUUAGGCUUCAUUAUUCUACAAAAUAUAUUUAUUACUUUGGUUACUCAGAUUACCACAAAAUAUAUAAGUUGUUUAUAUAAGUUGUUUAGGCUUAUAUUUUGUUAUUAUUCUACAAAAUAUAUAAGUUGUUUAGGCAUAUACAAUAACUUACCGAUAAAUAUAUUUUGUUAUUUAGGCUUCAUUAUUCUACAAUUUCUGGCAAAUCAAUAAACAUGCCAUACAUAAGUUGUUUUUGAACCCCAAAUAAUAUAUAUAUUUGUCCCCUGUUGCAACGUACAACCUCUUUUCCUUUAUUUCCUUAAUAUUAAAGGGAGGUGAGUUUCUUUAAAAAGUUUACAUUGUUUAUAAAAUUUUAAAACCAUGGGAAAGUAGUGCAUCAGGGAAGGUUCACCACUAGACCCCCCUGAUUGCAACGAAACAUCCUUUAUGUUGGAUUUUUUGGUAAUUAUGUAUUUAACAAAGCUCUCGUGUUUUGCUGGCGCAUGCCGUUUGUUCCUCUACAAGUGCCACUUCGCUGCAACCACUCUGUCAUUCAUGAAGAAUGUGAAGGCAAGGCUCCAUUUAAGGGAACGCGGCUAGCAACUAGACCCUCUAGGUGGACGCGAUCUUGAGCAGCGAAGAGCAGAUGCUCCGACAAGGCGAGCGUGGUUGCAGGCGACUGUUACACAUGUCGAGUUUGCUGACAAGAUUUCUGUCUCGGAAGGCGAGCGCGAGGCCACCACAAGGAGCAGAGCUGAGCUCGCUGUAGGCGGUGGAGGCGCACACGUUCCCACACCACUUUGCCAAGAUGAAGAAGAAAGUUGGCCUCACGCCCUCUGCCAUUAUAUCUGCGAGGGCCUCUGACAGUUCGGUGCUCAAAUCAAUUGAUGCCAACAGACCAGUGAGGUCCAAUUACCCCCUGAUCUGCGCAAUAACUGAAUGCAGGCGCAAGAACACUGACUUCAGGAACAGAGCAUUCGCGUUCCUGUUUGCUGACGGGGCCAACGACGAGUUGAGCUCGCUGUAGGCGAUGGAGGCGCACGCGUUCCCGCACCAGUUCGCUGAGAUGAAGAAAGUUGGCCUCGCGCCCGCUCCCAUUAUCUCUGCGAGGGCCUCUAACACUUCGGUUCUCAAAUCAAUUGACGCCAACAGACCAGUGAGGUCCAAUCACCCCCUGAUUUCGACGCGGUUGUUAGAGAAUUGUUUGCAUUAAUUUCCUCAUUUGUGCAACAUGUGUAAUUCUGCAUAUGAGCACCGAAAUCUGGGGUGAAAACCGUUUCAUUUAUAAAUCAGAUAUGAAGUGCUAGAGCAACGAGAAUGAACAGAAUGAAAGUAGAGGAGAGGAGGGCUGGCAGAAAGAUGCUACAUUGUCUUCUUGCAAGGAGAUGAUGGUUAAGGUGGUGGAAAACAAAUGAGAUGAGAAAAAUGGAUUGUGAGAGAAGCAUCAUAUACUGCAAUUCUCGGUGAAGUCAAGGAGAUUAGUAUUAUCUUUCGAAUUAUUGAUACGAAAGCAAAUACAGUUGCACAUGUCUGUGUAAAAUUUGUUGUUCGUGCGAGUAGAUGGAGCUGGUGGUUGAGCUCUGCCCCUGAUUUCCAGUGUACUAGCCCUACAACAAAAUUGUACUCAGUAAGGUCAUAGGUUUUUUUUCCCUGACAAUUAAGAUUCUAUAAGAAUGUGCCCGAAGCCUGUCAGGUAAUACCAGCCAACUAAGCAGAUACACAAUGAAAUUUCUGAA